RNAcentral lists this ribosomal RNA (402 nucleotides) under uncultured bacterium. RNAcentral describes it as "partial 16S ribosomal RNA". It matches the Rfam family "Bacterial small subunit ribosomal RNA", at positions 28 to 526 of the family's 1533-position model. The record is from RNAcentral.
GACGAACGCUGGCGGCGUGCUUAACACAUGCAAGUCGAACGAGUGACGAACGGGUGAGUAACACGUGGGUGCUUUUCCUUGCACUUCGGGAUAAGCUUGGGAAACUGGGUCUAAUACCGGAUAGUGCAAGAUGAGCUCGCGUCCUAUCAGCUUGUUGGUGGGGUAAUGGCUACCAAGGCGCGACGGGUAGCCGGCCUGAGAGGGUGUACGGCCACAGUGGGACUGAGAUACGGCCCAGACUACGACGGGCGGCAGCAGUGGGGAAUAUUGUACAAUGGGCGGAAGACUGCUGCAGCGACGAUGCGCAGGGGAUGAAUGGUCGCCGGUUGUAAACGCCUAUAAAAAGGGAAGUACCUGUAUAAGAAGCAUCAACUAAGUACGCAGCAGCAGCCGCGGUAAUUC